GAACAUGACCAGGAACAGCAAGAGGCCGAUGUUGAACAAGGCAGGCAAAGACAUCAUUAAGGCAAAAAGCAAGGUGCGGAUCCCUUUGGCUCCUUUGAUCAAACGCAGGAUACGUCCAAUACGAGCCAGGCGGAUGACUCGGAAGAGAGUGGGGGAUACAAAAUACUUCUCGAUGAUUUCAGCCAGGAACAUUCCCACAAUGGACAGAAUCACAACAACGAAGUCAAAGAUGUUCCACCCAAUGGUGAAGUAGUAGUGCCGCAAGGCGAACAUCUUCAGCACACACUCGCAGGUGAAGAAGAUGACGAACACCAGGUU
This 318-nucleotide long non-coding RNA is filed under the name Gallus gallus (chicken). The record is from RNAcentral. Lineage: Eukaryota; Metazoa; Chordata; Aves; Galliformes; Phasianidae.